AAACUGAGUAGAGGAUUCCCCAAUUACCUCAAAAUUUAAAAUUUUAGGUAAGAAAAUUUAAACUUUGAAGACAGAAAAAAGAUAAAACGCUGCUGCUUCUCCAAGAUAAAAUAAGAAUGGCCAUGGCUUCCCGACAAUCACCUGGACUUACCUGAAACAGACUCAUUGAAUCAGGAGAAUUGGCUUCCAGGUUCUACAGCCUCUCUUCCUCCCUCCAACACGAAAGCCCGAGCAAAGCUGGCUCUGUACGCAGGAUGAGGGGAGGCUUGUGUGUGUGUGUGCGCUGUGGGUUCCUGAUCAGAAAGUUCUACCCCAUCUGAUGAGCCCUGGCAAAAAAGUCAUCAGAGAUGGUACUGAGGCUCUGAAAGCCUACGUGCUGGGGAGGAAGAUCCCAAGGAAGCAAUAAGUAACAGACUGACUUCACCUGGGCCCAUAACUCAUACCAAGGAACUAAUUCAACUGCUUCUGUGACUUCCACCCAGGAACUGACUCAACACAAGAAGACAGCUUCAACCCUCUGUAAUUUCAUCCCUGGCCCAACCAAUCAGCAUCCCCCAUUCCCUAGCCCCUUGACUGCCAAACUAUCUUUGAAAAACCCUAACCUUUGAGCUUUUGGGGAGGGUGAUUUGAGUAAUAAACUCCCAUCCUUCCACUUAACUAGCCCUGUGAUUAUUAAACUCUUUCUCUACUGCGGUACUGCUGUCUCAGUGGAUUGGUUUUAUCUGUACAGUGAGCAAACAAGAGCACCAUGGUUUCCAGAGCUGCUU
Molecule: long non-coding RNA, 767 nt
Filed under: Homo sapiens (human)
Lineage: Eukaryota; Metazoa; Chordata; Mammalia; Primates; Hominidae
Description: HSALNT0390158
Source: RNAcentral